GUUUUAAUUUUCUGUGACUCACAGGCUUCACUUAGAGAUGCUUUCCAUUGGAAAUGAGAACUGCAGAGUACUGAGAAAUAUAAAAGAUGGGUUUAUGAUGGAUUUUCUUCUGUGCAUUGCUGAGGGAAUGAAGGAGGAAAGAGCAAAAUAACCUAGAAAAGAGAACCCCAGGCACAAAAUCACAACAUCCAGGAAUCAAUACAGAAUGGAUGCAGCAACACUGGAAAAACAGCAAAGCCUCACUGAAAGAGAACAGGAUGAAGACAUACCAGCUCAUUAAGGUGGACUCAUAUUCCUGAGCCCCAAAAUGCACUGCAAAACAGUACAGAGAUUUUUUUUUCCACGAGUACCCUUAGAAGCUUCCUUUUACAGACAAAGCCGUCCCUUUUUGGAACCAGAACUGCAUAA
Cygnus olor (mute swan) is the source of this 408-nucleotide long non-coding RNA. RefSeq lists it as uncharacterized. Lineage: Eukaryota; Metazoa; Chordata; Aves; Anseriformes; Anatidae. The record is from RefSeq and is a predicted model, not a curated record. The transcript has 3 exons.